GAUGAAGAACGCAGCGAAAUGCGAUAAGUAAUGUGAAUUGCAGAAUUCAGUGAAUCAUCGAAUCUUUGAACGCAUCUUGCGCUCCUUGGUAUUCUGAGGAGCAUGCCUGUUUGAGUGUCGUUAAAUUCUCAACUACACUGACUUUGAAUUGGUGUGGCUUGGAUUUGGGGGGAAAAUUGUUGUGGGCUUUUUGUAUAGUCUGCUCCCCUGAAAUUGAUUAGCGGUACCUUUGUGGAACUGUCUACAGGUGUGAUAAUUAUCUACAUCUUAGACAUCUGCUGGAAUGCUGCUUUCUAAACCUUACUUGUAUUGACAAUCUUGACCUCAAAUCAGGUAGGACUACCCGCUGAACUUAAGCAUAUCAAUAAGCGGAGGA
This 376-nucleotide unclassified non-coding RNA is filed under the name soil metagenome. RNAcentral describes it as "partial contains 5.8S ribosomal RNA, internal transcribed spacer 2, and large subunit ribosomal RNA". The stretch from base 1 to 120 matches the Rfam family "5.8S ribosomal RNA", at positions 35 to 154 of the family's 154-position model. The record is from RNAcentral.